Molecule: non-coding RNA, 135 nt
Organism: Triticum aestivum (bread wheat)
Lineage: Eukaryota; Viridiplantae; Streptophyta; Magnoliopsida; Poales; Poaceae
Source: Rfam
UUAUUACUCCCUCCGUCCGAAAAUACUUGUCAUCAAAGUGGCUAAAAAGACAUGUAUCUAGAACUAAUCUACGUCUAGAUACAAAUCCUUUUAUCCAUUUUGAUGAUAAGUAUUUCCGGACGGAAGGAGUACAAA